RNAcentral lists this non-coding RNA (211 nucleotides) under Bacteroides xylanisolvens. The record is from RNAcentral. Lineage: Bacteria; Pseudomonadati; Bacteroidota; Bacteroidia; Bacteroidales; Bacteroidaceae.
CUUUGCCGCAGAAAUUUUGGUGUCAUUCGUCCGAUGCUACGGAAGAAUGGUGAAAAGGGAAUCAGGUGUAAAUCCUGAACAGACCCGCUGCUGUAAGCUCCGCCAGAAGUUUUCCUACAAUACUCAAAUCCACUGUCUCGCUUUGGAGAGAUGGGAAGGGCGUUAGGAAAAUGGAGUAAGUCAGAAGACCUGCCAAAAUUGAAUUCUUGAA